AACGAACGCUGGCGGCAGGCCUAAUACAUGCAAGUCGAACGCACCGCAAGGUGAGUGGCAGACGGGUGAGUAACGCGUGGGAAUCUUCCUUGCAGUACGGAAUAACUCCGGGAAAGCGGGUCGAAUACCGUAUACGGCCUUCGGUCGACAGAUUUAUCUCUGCCAGAUGAGCCCGCGUCGGAUUAGCUAGUUGGUGGGGUAACGGCCUACCAAGGCGACGAUCCGUAGCUGGUCUGAGAGGAUGAUCAGCCACACUGGGACUGAGACACGGCCCAGACUCCUGCGGGAGGCAGCAGUAGGGAAUAUUGGACAAUGGGCGCAAGCCUGAUCCAGCCAUGCCGCGUGAGUGAAGAAGGCCUUAGGGUUGUAAAGCUCUUUUGGCGGGGAAGAUAAUGACGGUACCCGCAGAAUAAGCUCCGGCUAACUGCGUGCCAGCCGCCGCGGUAA
Molecule: ribosomal RNA, 447 nt
Filed under: uncultured bacterium
Lineage: Bacteria
Description: partial 16S ribosomal RNA
Rfam family: Bacterial small subunit ribosomal RNA
Source: RNAcentral